CCUACGGGGGGCUGCAGUGGGGAAUAUUGCACAAUGGGGGAAACCCUGAUGCAGCGACGCCGCGUGAGUGAAGAAGUAUCUCGGUACGUAAAGCUCUAUCAGCAGGGAAGAAAAUGACGGUACCUGACUAAGAAGCCCCGGCUAAAUACGUGCCAGCAGCCGCGGUAAUACGUAGGGGGCAAGCGUUAUCCGGAUUUACUGGGUGUAAAGGGAGCGUAGACGGCAGCGCAAGUCUGGAGUGAAAGCCCGGGGCUUAACCCCGGAACUGCUUUGGAAACUGUGCGGCUGGAGUGCAGAAGGGGUGAGCAGAAUUCCUGGUGUAGCGGUGAAAUGCGUAGAGAUUAGGAGGAACACCGGUGGCGAAGGCGGCUUACUGGACUGUAACUGACGUUGAGGCUCGAAAGCGUGGGGAGCAAACAGGAUUAGAUACCCCAGUAGUC
RNAcentral lists this ribosomal RNA (440 nucleotides) under uncultured bacterium. Its description in RNAcentral is "partial 16S ribosomal RNA". It matches the Rfam family "Bacterial small subunit ribosomal RNA", at positions 338 to 795 of the family's 1533-position model. The record is from RNAcentral.